This 486-nucleotide ribosomal RNA is filed under the name uncultured bacterium. Its description in RNAcentral is "bacterial SSU rRNA". It matches the Rfam family "Bacterial small subunit ribosomal RNA", at positions 15 to 518 of the family's 1533-position model. The record is from RNAcentral.
GAUCAUGGCUCAGGACGAACGCUGGGCGGCGUGCCUAACACAUGCAAGUCGAGCGAUGAAACCCUUCGGGGUGGAUUAGCGGCGGACGGGUGAGUAACACGUGGGUAACCUGCCUCAAAGAGGGGGAUAGCCUCCCGAAAGGGAGAUUAAUACCGCAUAACAUUAUUUCUUCGCAUGAAGAGAUAAUCAAAGGAGUAAUCCGCUUUGAGAUGGACCCGCGGCGCAUUAGCUAGUUGGUGAGGUAAUGGCUCACCAAGGCAACGAUGCGUAGCCGACCUGAGAGGGUGAUCGGCCACAUUGGAACUGAGAUACGGUCCAGACUCCUACGGGAGGCAGCAGUGGGGAAUAUUGCGCAAUGGGGGAAACCCUGACGCAAGCAACGCCGCGUGGGUGAAGAAGGCCUUCGGGUUGUAAAGCUCUGUCUUCUGGAACGAUAAUGACGGUACCAGAGGAGGAAGCCACGGCUAACUACGUGCCAGCAGCUGC